RNAcentral lists this long non-coding RNA (1404 nucleotides) under Chloebia gouldiae (Gouldian finch). RNAcentral's name for it is "Erythrura gouldiae (Gouldian finch) lncRNA (ENSEGOG00005017393.1)". Lineage: Eukaryota; Metazoa; Chordata; Aves; Passeriformes; Passeridae. The record is from RNAcentral.
AUGGGAAUUUCACGGGGAUUUCACGGGGAUUUUAUGGGGAUUUCACGGGGAUUUUAUGGGAAUUUUAUGGGGAUUUUAUGGGGAUUUUAUGGGGAUUUUAUGGGGAUUUCACGGGGAUUUUAUGGGGAUUUUAUGGGGAUUUUAUGGGGAUUUUAUGGGGAUUUUAUGGGGAUUUCACGGGAAUUUCACGGGGAUUUUAUGGGGAUUUUAUGGGGAUUUUACAGGAAUUUUACGGGGAUUUUAUGGGGAUUUUACGGGGAUUUCACGGGGAUUUUAUGGGGAUUUUAUGGGGAUUUUAUGGGGAUUUUAUGGAAUUUUAUGGGGAUUUUCUGGGGAUUUUACAGGAAUUUUCUGGGGAUUUUACCGAAAUUUUAUGGGAGUUUUAUAGGAAUUUUCUGGGGAUUUUCUGGGGAUUUUACAGGAAUUUUUUGGGAGUUUUAUAGGAAUUUUCUGGGGAUUUUACAGGAAUUUUCUGGGGAUUUUACCGAAAUUUUAUGGGAGUUUUAUAGGAAUUUUCUGGGGAUUUUACGGGGAUUUUUUGGGAAUUUUAUAGGAAUUUUCUGGGAAUUUUAUGAGAAUUUUACAGGAUUUUUUUUUAAUUUUCUGGGUAUUUUACAGGAAUUGUUUUGGAAUUUUCUGGGAAUUUUGCGGGAAUUUUUUGGGAAUUUUCCAGGGAUUUUACGGGAAUUUUAUGGGAAUUUUCUGGUGAUUUUACGGGAAUUUUUUGGGAAUUUUCUGGGGAUUUUGGGGGGAUUUUUGUGGAUUUUUUCAGGAUUUUUUGGGGAUUUUUGGGGGAUUUUCCAGGAAGUUCUGUGGAAUUUUCUGGGAAUUUUCUGGGAAUUUUCCAGGAAUUUUCCAGGAAUUUCCCCAGAAUUUUCUGGCAUGUCCAAAGAAUUUCCCAGGAAUUUUCAAGCAAUUUCCAGGAAUUUUACGGGAAUUUUCUGGGAAUCUUCUGGGAAUUUUUUGGGAAUUUUGGGGGGAUUUUCCAGGAAGUUUUCUGGGAAUUUUCCCAGAACUUUCCAGGAAUUUUCUGGAAAUUUUCUGGGAAUUUUUUGGGAAUUUUGGGGGGAUUUUGGGGUUUUUUUGGGGGAAUUUUUUGGGAAAUUUUGGGAAUUUUUUGGGGGAUUUUUUCGAGAUUUUUUGGGGAGUUUUUGGGGAAUUUUCCAGGAAUUUUCAGAGAAUUUUUGGGACUUUUUAGAGAUUUCCAUGGGAUUUUCCAGCAAAAUUUCUGGGAAUUUUACGGAAAUUUUCCAUGAGUUUACCGGGAAUUUUUGGGAAAAUUUCCAGGAUUUUUCUGGAUAUUUUUGGGAAAUUUCCUGGAAUUUUAUGGACAUUUUCCAGGAAUUUUCUGUGAUUAUUUUUUCCCAGGAAUUUUCUAGGACUAUCCAGGGAAUUUUGUUUUAA